GAGGAAUAUUGGUCAAUGGGCGAGAGCCUGAACCAGCCAAGUCGCGUGAAGGAUGACUGUCUUAUGGAUUGUAAACUUCUUUUAUACGGGAAUAACAAGGGUCACGUGUGACCCCCUGCAUGUACCGUAUGAAUAAGCAUCGGCUAACUCCGUGCCAGCAGCCGCGGUAAUACGGAGGAUGCGAGCGUUAUCCGGAUUUAUUGGGUUUAAAGGGUGCGUAGGCGGUUUGUUAAGUCAGCGGUGAAAUCUAGAGGCUCAACCUCGAAACUGCCGUUGAAACUGGCGAACUUGAGUGUAGAUGAGGUAGGCGGAAUUCGUGGUGUAGCGGUGAAAUGCAUAGAUAUCACGAGGAACUCCGAUUGCGAAGGCAGCUUACUAAGGUACAACUGACGCUGAAGCACGAAAGCGUGGGUAUCAAACAGGAUUAGAUACCCUGGUAGUCCACGCAGUAAACGAUGAUAACUGGGCGUAUGCGAUAUACAGUAUGCUCCUAAGCGAAAGCGUUAAGUUAUCCACCUGGGGAGUACGCCGGCAACGGUG
RNAcentral lists this ribosomal RNA (540 nucleotides) under uncultured bacterium. Its description in RNAcentral is "bacterial SSU rRNA". It matches the Rfam family "Bacterial small subunit ribosomal RNA", at positions 356 to 896 of the family's 1533-position model. The record is from RNAcentral.